RNAcentral lists this ribosomal RNA (414 nucleotides) under uncultured microorganism. Its description in RNAcentral is "bacterial SSU rRNA". It matches the Rfam family "Archaeal small subunit ribosomal RNA", at positions 459 to 872 of the family's 1478-position model. The record is from RNAcentral.
CAGCCGCCGCGGUAAUACCGGCGGCCCGAGUGGCGGCCACUAUUAUUGGGCUUAAAGCGUCCGUAGCCGGGUUGGGAAGUCCUCCGGGAAAUCUGGCCGCUUAACGGUCAGAAUGCCGGAGGAUACUCCCAGCCUAGGGAGCGGGAGAGGCCGAGGGUAUUCCCGGAGUAGGGGUGAAAUCCUAUAAUCCCGGGAGGACCACCUGUGGCGAAGGCGCUCGGCUGGAACGCGUCCGACGGGGAGGGACGAAGGCCAGGGGAGCAAACCGGAUUAGAUACCCGGGUAGUCCUGGCUGUAAACGAUGCGGACUUUGUGUCGGACAAGCUAUGAGCUUGUCCGGUGCCGGAGGGAAACCGUUAAGUCCGCCGCCUGGGGAGUACGGCCGCAAGGCUGAAACUUAAAGGAAUUGGCGGG